Molecule: unclassified non-coding RNA, 1403 nt
Filed under: Hevea brasiliensis (rubber tree)
Lineage: Eukaryota; Viridiplantae; Streptophyta; Magnoliopsida; Malpighiales; Euphorbiaceae
Source: RNAcentral
GAGAGAGAGAGAGAGAGAGUAGUAUUUAGGUAAGAUUAGGUAGGAGUCAUCUUUUUGAUGGAUAAGUUGAAUAAUUAUGCAAGAGUAGAUGGUAAUAGUAUUUACAGAAGAUUAACAAAGUAAGCUAAAUUUUCUGAGGUUUCCACACCCUCUGAAGCAGAAUUAAAGUGUUGCUCAAUGAUGAACUACCACCACAAAUCUAAUAGUUGAUCAAUAUCAGCUCCCAGAGACUGAUGAAGAACUUAACGUUCUGCUGCUAUUGCCCUUGUAGCAAUGAAUCUCCUUAAGAUUGAAAAGUAGUGAUUAGUUCUUGGAGAUCUAUGUCUUCUCUGUUACUGCAAAAGUUUUUUCUUCUUCUUAUGAUGAACACUUUUUGCUCUACUGAUUUGUUUACUAGGAUUGUGAUUGCUUAUAUUUAUGUUGGAGAACUUGUUUUCAACAAAGAAUGAGCGAAACACUAAUGCCAUUAAAAUAAUAGGAUUCAAUGAUUUUGACUUUUAGGCUGAACAAGCAGUAGAAUUCUCAUGCCAUUAUAGCUUUAUUGAAUUUUAUUAUUAAACAAUAACUUAAAGUCAUAAACCAUGCUUGAGAAGGAAAGGAAAUACGUGUAAUUUGCAUCUCUUUUUUUUUAAAUUAAAUAAUAGCUUUAUUUAUACACACAUGGCAAUGAAUAAAACCAUGCUGUUUCGCAUAUGAAGCAAUGCUACUUCGGUUUUUGAGGAAAAAACAUAAAGUUCACAAAAUAUAAACCUACAUUUCUUGUCUUCAUUUAAAAAGGGUUAUAUUUAUCUUUGGAUUUUUCUGUUGACAGUGAUGGGUAUAGCAUUGUUACUAUCCCAGUUAGAAAAGCUUGGCUUCAUCCAACUGCUUAUUUAUGUUGCUCUUCAAAGUAAACAAAAACUUCCCAAAUUUCCUUCUGCUGCCUUUAGGUACCAGACACUAUUCUCUUCUUAAGUUCUAACCCUCAAAGGAAAACUCGCUAUUCGUUAUUUUUAUACUGAUGGAGAUUUUAGAUCCUCUUCCAUAGUUUCUGUUAAUCCUUAUGUUGUUAUUAGUGUUCGUAAUCAGUUCGAAUUCCUUAAAAAGGCUAUCCAUUUUGAGAAAUACAUCUCUUUCAAGCGGUCCAAAGGAGGGGAGGAAAUGUUUUUUGAAUCCAGGACAAACUGUGGACACUUUGUUUCCUUUAUUUUUUUGUAGUAUAUGUUCCUUGGCCUUCCUUUCCUGUCUGUACUGUAUUGUUUCUUUUCUCUGCCCCAGUGAGGAUGGUUGGCUUGGGUGGGGAGAGGGAUAUAUAUAUAUAUAUAUUCUGCAGGGGAAACAACAUUUACUAGUUACAUUGCCUAUGAGUAUAUAUAUAAAGAUGGGACGUGCUUGGCUGUAAAAAAAAAGUGCCUUGUGGAUGG